CCGACGGUGAGAGAUGAAAGCUGGGGGCACGAACCGGAUUAGAUACCCGGGUAGUCCCAGCCGUAAACGAUGCUCGCUAGGUGUCUGGGAUGGUGCGACCGUUUCAGGUGCCGCAGGGAAGCCGUGAAGCGAGCCACCUGGGAAGUACGGCCGCAAGGCUGAAACUUAAAGGAAUUGGCGGGGGAGCACUACAACGGGUGGAGCCUGCGGUUUAAUUGGACUCAACGCCGGAAAACUCACCUGGGGC
RNAcentral lists this ribosomal RNA (247 nucleotides) under uncultured archaeon. Its description in RNAcentral is "partial 16S ribosomal RNA". It matches the Rfam family "Archaeal small subunit ribosomal RNA", at positions 691 to 937 of the family's 1478-position model. The record is from RNAcentral.